CCUACGGGAGGCAGCAGUGGGGAAUAUUGCACAAUGGGGGAAACCCUGAUGCAGCGACGCCGCGUGAGUGAAGAAGGUCUUCGGAUUGUAAAGUUCUUUUCUUAGGGAAGUAGAAAGUGACGGUACCUUAGGUAUAAGCCUCGGCUAACUACGUGCCAGCAGCCGCUGUAAUACGUAGGAGGCGAGCGUUAUCCGGAAUGACUGGGUGUAAAGGGUGCGUAGGUGGUUUGGCAAGUUAGUAGCGUAACUCCAAGGCUCAACCGUGGAACGACUACUAAAACUGGUGGACUUGAGUGCAGGAGGGGCAACCGGAAUUCCUAGGGUAGCGGUGGAAUGCGUAGAUAUUAGGAGGAACACCAGUGGCGAAGGCAGGUUGCUAGACUGUAACUGACACUGAGGCACGAAAGCGUGGGGAGCAAACAGGAUUAGAUACCCGUGUAGUC
Molecule: ribosomal RNA, 443 nt
Filed under: uncultured bacterium
Lineage: Bacteria
Description: partial 16S ribosomal RNA
Rfam family: Bacterial small subunit ribosomal RNA
Source: RNAcentral